AUCCACCUGACGAGUCUCGAAUAGGACGAAACGCGCGUCAAACUGGAU
This 48-nucleotide non-coding RNA is filed under the name Schistosoma mansoni. Lineage: Eukaryota; Metazoa; Platyhelminthes; Trematoda; Strigeidida; Schistosomatidae. The record is from RNAcentral.